GACGAACGCUGGCGGCGUGCUUAACACAUGCAAGUCGAACGGAAAGGCCUCUUUCGGGGGGUACUCGCGUGGCGCACGGGUGAGUAACACGUGAGUAACCUGCCCUUGACUUUGGGAUAACUUCAGGAAACUGGGGCUAAUACCGGAUAGGAGCUCCUGCUGCAUGGUGGGGGUUGGAAAGUUUCGGCGGGGGGGGAUGGACUCGCGGCUUAUCAGCUUGUUGGUGGGGUGGUGGGUUACCAAGGCUUUGACGGGUAGCCGGCCUGAGAGGGUGACCGGCCACAUUGGGACUGAGAUACGGCCCAGACUCCUACGGGGGGCAGCAGGGGGGAAUAUUGCACAAUGGGUGGAAGCCUGAUGCAGCAACGCCGGGUGCGGGAUGACGGCCUUCGGGUUGUAAACCGCUUUCGCUCAGGACGAAGCUUUGUGUGACGGUAGUGGGUAAAGAAGCACCGGCUAACUACGUG
RNAcentral lists this ribosomal RNA (467 nucleotides) under uncultured bacterium. RNAcentral's name for it is "partial 16S ribosomal RNA". It matches the Rfam family "Bacterial small subunit ribosomal RNA", at positions 28 to 507 of the family's 1533-position model. The record is from RNAcentral.